Long non-coding RNA from Bos taurus (domestic cattle), 594 nucleotides. The record is from Ensembl. NCBI's taxonomy places the organism in Eukaryota, Metazoa, Chordata, Mammalia, Artiodactyla, Bovidae.
GAUUCACAGAGGGUGGUGAGGUACAUCAGUUACUGGCUGGUAACUGAUGGCAGGCGUGUGUCCCUUCAAUUUAAUGUUCUCUUAAUGAAUAUAAGUAAUGGUUAGGUUGUCCUUCACUGCUGAUAUGUUUCUGUCUCUAAGGGUUAUUGCAAUCAGGGAUGAACAUUGCUCCUCAAGCCACUUACGUCCCCACUGUGGUGGAGUAGAGUGGGAUUCCUGGCCCAUCGCAGCCCUCUUUUAGUUGGACGACAGCCCGCCAGGCUCCCCUGUCCCUGGGAUUCUCCAGAUUUCAAGAAGGCUGCUGUGCCUCUGUCCAUCACAUCUGUGUUCCAGGCAGAACAUGAAGGUAAAUGCAAAAGGCUGAAGAAUAUCAGCUGAGUCUAUCUCUUUAAAAAAAAAGAAGAAGAAGAAUUUUUCUGCAUGCAGGAUUUUGUUCCUUGAUCAGGCAUUGAAUCCAUCCCCCCUGCAUUGGGAGCUCAGAGCCUUAGCCACUGGACCACCAGCCUUCAGGGAAAUCUACAGCUGAAGGGCUUACGGUCCUCACGUGCUCUACGGCUCCACGGCUGCUCCUUGGAGGUUGCACCACUGAUUUAG